RNAcentral lists this ribosomal RNA (253 nucleotides) under uncultured bacterium. Its description in RNAcentral is "partial 16S ribosomal RNA". It matches the Rfam family "Bacterial small subunit ribosomal RNA", at positions 524 to 776 of the family's 1533-position model. The record is from RNAcentral.
UACGAAGGGGGCUAGCGUUGCUCGGAAUCACUGGGCGUAAAGCGCACGUAGGCGGCUUCUUAAGUCGGAGGUGAAAUCCUGGAGCUCAACUCCAGAACUGCCUUCGAUACUGGGAAGCUCGAGUCCGGGAGAGGUGAGUGGAACUGCGAGUGUAGAGGUGAAAUUCGUAGAUAUUCGCAAGAACACCAGUGGCGAAGGCGGCUCACUGGCCCGGUACUGACGCUGAGGUGCGAAAGCGUGGGGAGCAAACAGG